This is a long non-coding RNA of Lactuca sativa (garden lettuce), 978 nucleotides long. RefSeq lists it as uncharacterized. The record is from RefSeq and is a predicted model, not a curated record. NCBI's taxonomy places the organism in Eukaryota, Viridiplantae, Streptophyta, Magnoliopsida, Asterales, Asteraceae.
CAAUAGCUCCUCCUCUAUUUCCAUACACGUUGCCUCGUUAUCGACCACCAUCUUCGCCUCCACCGCCCGAUGCCACUUCCACCUUCAUCGUCAAACAGUUGCACACCUUCGCCUCUAGCCUCCAUUUCCAUAUGACAGAUUGUACACUACUACACCACCACCGGUGUUGGUUCCUACACCUCCACCAAAAAAUUCCUCUUCUCAACCACUGAAAUUGAGAUAUAUUCUUGGUUGAGAUAUAUUCUUGGUGGUCGGAAAGAAGAAUAUGAAAUGUUUUUAAAGGGAUGAAGGAAAAAGAAAAUUAUCUAACUCAUACAAUAUAUAUUCCUUAUGGGAGGAAGGAAAACAAAAUGAUAUGUUCCUAGUGCUUCCACUAUCCUUCCUAUUUCUAAAGUUUUUUCUGUUUAACUUGGUUUUAAUUUUGGUUACAAAUUCUAAAUUGGUGGCAGUGAUGAUAUCAACGAUGGCGGUGAUUAUGGUAUUAGUGGUGUCGUUGAUGAUGGUAUUGAUGGUGGCCGAUGGUUAUUGGUGAUAAUUAUAGUUACGAUGGUGGUUAGUAGUGAUGAUAACCAUGAUGAGUGGCGAUAUAGUGGUGGUUGGUAUUGGUGACAGUGGUGGUAACCGAUGAAUGAUCGUGGUGGAUGGAUGUGAUGGUGAAAGGAUGACGAAGAUAGUGGUGGUUGGAGGUGAUUGAUAAAGGGGAUGAAGAUGGUGGUUGUGGUGAAUAGAGGUGACGAUGGAGAUGGUAGUGAUGGAACAUGUUAGUGUAGACAGAUAGAGGUUAAGAUAGUGGGAUGAUAAAGAUGGCAGUGGAUGGAGGUGAAUGAUGAGAUGAUAAAGAUGUUGGUGAUGGAUGAUGGUGGAGGAAGGAUAAAGAUGGUUGAUAGAUGAGGUGGUGAGAAAUGGUCUCUUAAGUAUAUACUACCUCCGUCCCAAAUUAAUUGUUCAUAUUUGAUUUUUGAAGUCUUUAUUAUUCAA